UGGGGAAUCUUGGACAAUGGGGGCAACCCUGAUCCAGCGACGCCGCGUGGGUGGUAAGGCCUUCGGGUUGUAAAGCCCUUUCACCGGGGAAGAUGAUGACAUUACCCGGAGAAGAAGCCCCGGCUAACUCCGUGCCAGCAGCCGCGGUAAUACGGAGGGGGCUAGCGUUGUUCGGAAUUACUGGGCGUAAAGCGCGCGUAGGCGGGUGACCAAGUUGGGGGUGAAAGCCCGGGGCUCAACCCCGGAACGGCCCUCAAAACUGGUCAUCUAGAAUCCGGGAGAGGUGAGCGGAAUUCCUAGUGUAGAGGUGAAAUUCGUAGAUAUUAGGAAGAACACCGGUGGCGAAGGCGGCUCACUGGACCGGUAUUGACGCUGAGGUGCGAAAGCGUGGGGAGCGAACAGGAUUAGAUACCCCGGUAGUCC
RNAcentral lists this ribosomal RNA (423 nucleotides) under uncultured prokaryote. RNAcentral describes it as "bacterial SSU rRNA". It matches the Rfam family "Bacterial small subunit ribosomal RNA", at positions 355 to 796 of the family's 1533-position model. The record is from RNAcentral.